Molecule: ribosomal RNA, 1575 nt
Filed under: Lactiplantibacillus plantarum
Lineage: Bacteria; Bacillati; Bacillota; Bacilli; Lactobacillales; Lactobacillaceae
Description: Lactobacillus plantarum 16S ribosomal RNA
Rfam family: Bacterial small subunit ribosomal RNA
Source: RNAcentral
UUAAUUUGAGAGUUUGAUCCUGGCUCAGGACGAACGCUGGCGGCGUGCCUAAUACAUGCAAGUCGAACGAACUCUGGUAUUGAUUGGUGCUUGCAUCAUGAUUUACAUUUGAGUGAGUGGCGAACUGGUGAGUAACACGUGGGAAACCUGCCCAGAAGCGGGGGAUAACACCUGGAAACAGAUGCUAAUACCGCAUAACAACUUGGACCGCAUGGUCCGAGCUUGAAAGAUGGCUUCGGCUAUCACUUUUGGAUGGUCCCGCGGCGUAUUAGCUAGAUGGUGGGGUAAUGGCUCACCAUGGCAAUGAUACGUAGCCGACCUGAGAGGGUAAUCGGCCACAUUGGGACUGAGACACGGCCCAAACUCCUACGGGAGGCAGCAGUAGGGAAUCUUCCACAAUGGACGAAAGUCUGAUGGAGCAACGCCGCGUGAGUGAAGAAGGGUUUCGGCUCGUAAAACUCUGUUGUUAAAGAAGAACAUAUCUGAGAGUAACUGUUCAGGUAUUGACGGUAUUUAACCAGAAAGCCACGGCUAACUACGUGCCAGCAGCCGCGGUAAUACGUAGGUGGCAAGCGUUGUCCGGAUUUAUUGGGCGUAAAGCGAGCGCAGGCGGUUUUUUAAGUCUGAUGUGAAAGCCUUCGGCUCAACCGAAGAAGUGCAUCGGAAACUGGGAAACUUGAGUGCAGAAGAGGACAGUGGAACUCCAUGUGUAGCGGUGAAAUGCGUAGAUAUAUGGAAGAACACCAGUGGCGAAGGCGGCUGUCUGGUCUGUAACUGACGCUGAGGCUCGAAAGUAUGGGUACAAACAGGAUUAGAUACCCUGGUAGUCCAUACCGUAAACGAUGAAUGCUAAGUGUUGGAGGGUUUCCGCCCUUCAGUGCUGCAGCUAACGCAUUAAGCAUUCCGCCUGGGGAGUACGGCCGCAAGGCUGAAACUCAAAGGAAUUGACGGGGGCCCGCACAAGCGGUGGAGCAUGUGGUUUAAUUCGAAGCUACGCGAAGAACCUUACCAGGUCUUGACAUACUAUGCAAAUCUAAGAGAUUAGACGUUCCCUUCGGGGACAUGGAUACAGGUGGUGCAUGGUUGUCGUCAGCUCGUGUCGUGAGAUGUUGGGUUAAGUCCCGCAACGAGCGCAACCCUUAUUAUCAGUUGCCAGCAUUAAGUUGGGCACUCUGGUGAGACUGCCGGUGACAAACCGGAGGAAGGUGGGGAUGACGUCAAAUCAUCAUGCCCCUUAUGACCUGGGCUACACACGUGCUACAAUGGAUGGUACAACGAGUUGCGAACUCGCGAGAGUAAGCUAAUCUCUUAAAGCCAUUCUCAGUUCGGAUUGUAGGCUGCAACUCGCCUACAUGAAGUCGGAAUCGCUAGUAAUCGCGGAUCAGCAUGCCGCGGUGAAUACGUUCCCGGGCCUUGUACACACCGCCCGUCACACCAUGAGAGUUUGUAACACCCAAAGUCGGUGGGGUAACCUUUUAGGAACCAGCCGCCUAAGGUGGGACAGAUGAUUAGGGUGAAGUCGUAACAAGGUAGCCGUAGGAGAACCUGCGGCUGGAUCACCUCCUUUCUAAGGAA